UUAUAAUGAAAGGCAAACAAGAUUUAAUUUUCUAAUUUUGCAACAUUUUGACGCUUGAGUCUUUAUUUUUCUAGGUCAAUCUUUAAACCAAUUUUGAGAACAUCGAUAUUAAUACCCAUACACAACAUGCAUGCAUGUAUGGACCGUGUCUGGUAGGUAUUGUGCAUGGAGAAACAUCGUAUAUAUGAAUCGAUAAAAUGUGACCCUUGGAAGGUGGACAGUUGUAUGCAGGUGGUGGGAGCCAGUGGGGUCCUAGGUUCUCACUAAAAUUUGAGAUUUUCCCUUUUUCAUAUUACUAUGUUUUAUAUUUAUAAAAUUUUUUCGAAAUUAUAUUAGGCUUUCAUUGGAUUCGAGUUCUGACUCCGUUGCUUGUUUUCCGUUUAGUUGUCAGUUUAUGUCCAAUAAUUACCUAUAAGAAAAUGAAAGCCCGUUUAUUAAAUAUAUUAUAUACGUGUGGAGCUUUAAUUUAUAGCUAAAUUCAUUUAAUAUAAUACAAUAGAAAAUAUCCCAUAAAUACAAGUUGGACCAAAAGGAAAAGGGGUGUUUAUGGAUUGCCAUAUUGGACUGUACUUUAGCAUAUGAUAAGUUUUCCUUUUGGCAUAACCCUAACACACAAGAAAGACAUCUUUUGAAUUUUAAAUUCUACAUGGUCAAUUAACAAAUUUAAAAGAUAAUGUUAAAUAAUUAAUUAGUGGUACCUUAAUUUUGUUCUUCAUCUGUCUAAUUAGAGUUUUGUUUUGACACUAUUUUUGCUGUUCUGAUAGAUUAUUCCUUGAACAAAUAAAGUGACAAAGUGUGGGAAUGACGAUUUAACUAAUGUAGAUCAAUAAUUCUACUUGUACAAAGUUCUAUUUAAAAUGAUUGUUGUGGAUGUUAUUUUGUCAACCUACUUUGUAAAUAAUAUUUGUAAGUAUAGCACAAUUCAACGUGGAUUGAGAAUGACAUUUGCAAUUUUGUCUUCUUCUUCAACUACCCUUCAAUUUGACACUCACUCUUCUUGUAGUUUCAUAAGAAAAAAAAUCAUAUUAGAAUUAUGAAAACAUAUUGGUACGUUGAAUUUGUUAAAUUUUCAUGUCCUUUAAAUAUGAAAAUAAUAACAAAAAAGUUUUACUUAUCUUAAAAUGUUAAACUUUUAAGACGUAACAUAAAGACUAAGGGUCUAAUUGGUCGGGUUUCUGCUUUCAGUAGAAGAGUUUUUUAACAAAAUUAUCUUAUAUCAAUUUUUUUUUUCUAAAAACUCUUAUAGUUAGACAAAACAAUUCAAGAAAAGACCUGAACAAAUUCAUAAACAACUUCUUAGUCGUAGAAAAAAACUUUUCAAAAGCCUGCCGAACGGCCCUUCAAUAUUGUACCAAGUCUUAAAAGCUCAAAUAAGCAUUUUCGUUCGCUUAAAGCUCAACAGACGACAGGCAGCUGAAUUUAUGAACAGCAACUUGCUUGUCAUGAUAAAAGUAAAACCUAAUGUCCGUUAAAUAUGAAAAUAAUAAUCAAGUCUGAACUAAUCCCCUUCAAGGAUGGAAAACAAAUUACCUUUAUUAAUUGCAUUCUUUGGCCAAUACUUCUCUACAAUUCCUAAAGAACUUUGUACAAGUUUUAGCUAGGGCCGCGCAAAAAAACCGUACAAUCGCAAACCGAACCGAAAACGUUGAGUUGAAAUCGUUGUUUUGGAUCCACGUGGACCCGUGGUUUCUUUUUCCGUCAAACCGAACCAAACCAUUUCAAAAUGGUUUGGUUUAUGUUUUGAUUUUUAAAAAUCGCACAAAACCAAACCGAACCGUUUUUAAAUUUUUUAAUUAAAAAAAUAAUUUUAUUAACUUAAUAAUUUUACAGUUUUCAUUUAAAAAAAAAAAACCAAUUUAACAAUAUAAAUUACACACACCCUACUGAAAUAAUCAUAGAAAGUAAAUUAAGUUCAUCAAUAUUAACAUAUGAUUUAACAGGUUCACAACAUAUGUCCUCAUCCGAUAUCUACGCUAAACUAAAAAUUCCAAAAUCAUAUGAAAUGAAAAAAACACAAUUUUCAACAAUCCAAAUCAUAAUUCAAUAAAACUACGUUAGUAAAUCAUGUCCAAAGUUUCAGAAAUCCUAACAUAAGCUCUCAUUUCCUUAACAUUUGUCGUUUGUCUAUUACUGCUGAACAAAUAGCCAGCCGUCUUUACCUGUUAGUCUACUAAUCUUCACCUAAAUCGCCUCUUUCUCUCUUCUCUUUCGAUAAGUCUUAGAUUUUUAUUCAAGUCAUUUUUCCAUUGUUCUUUCUUUUAUUUGUUUUUUGAACUUAUUAUACACUUGUAAGUUAUGAUUUGGAUAGAAAAAUGAUUGUUUGUGUGCCUAGAUGAUCCAUGAACUUGUUUGUGAUUUGAAAAGAACGAAGGACGGAGCGUAUUGAUUAUGUAAAAAUGUUAAAGUUCCUUAACUAGUACUCUACCUUCUACUUUACAUCUCACUAGCAAAACGAAAAGGAGUUUUAACCAAACUAUAAUAAGAUAAUGUAACUCUACAUUUACCAACCGCUAUAUGACAAUAAAAAUGAAGAAGAGAUAUUUUUGUUCUAUUAAUAUCUUUUAACAACCAACUUUGAAAAUAAUUUAUUCAUGGGUUUCAUAAUGAAUAUGAAUGUAAUUUAACAUUUAACAUUAUUAGUUCUCGUUUAAAUUUAUAUUUAACUAUGUUAAAUACAUUACUAUAAUGUCGAAAGGUAAACCGCAAAUUAAAAUUGAACCAAACUGCAAAUUAUGGUUUGGUUAAAAAAAAAUGGUUUGGCUUGGUUUGAAAAAAUUUUAACC
Molecule: long non-coding RNA, 2783 nt
Filed under: Olea europaea (common olive)
Lineage: Eukaryota; Viridiplantae; Streptophyta; Magnoliopsida; Lamiales; Oleaceae
Description: long non-coding RNA (OEUR_LNC002842)
Source: RNAcentral